AGGUAUGCGUACACAUGCACAUCGAGCGCAUGGAUUAAGAGCUUGCUCUUAUGAAGUUAGCGGCGGCACGGGUGAGUAACACGUGGGUAACCUGCCCAUAAGACUGGGAUAACUCCGGGAAACCGGGGCUAAUACCGGAUAACAUUUUGAACCGCAUGGUUCGAAAUUGAAAGGCGGCUUCGGCUGUCACUUAUGGAUGGACCCGCGUCGCAUUAGCUAGUUGGUGAGGUAACGGCUCACCAAGGCAACGAUGCGUAGCCGACCUGAGAGGGUGAUCGGCCACACUGGGACUGAGACACGGCCCAGACUCCUACGGGAGGCAGCAGUAGGGAAUCUUCCGCAAUGGACGAAAGUCUGACGGAGCAACGCCGCGUGAGUGAUGAAGGCUUUCGGGUCGUAAAACUCUGUUGUUAGGGAAGAACAAGUGCUAGUUGAAUAAGCUGGCACCUUGACGGUACCUAACCAGAAAGCCACGGCUAACUACGUGCCAGCAGCCGCGGUAAUACGUAGGUGGCAAGCGUUAUCGGGAAUUAUUGGGCGUAAAGCGCGCGCAGGUGUUUCUUAGUCUGAUGUGAAAGCCCACGGCUCACCGUGGAGGGUCGUUGGAACUGGGGAGACUCAGGGCAAAAGAGGAAGGGAAUUUCCAUGAUGAGCGGCUAAUUGUGAAGAGUGGC
This 674-nucleotide ribosomal RNA is filed under the name Bacillus cereus. Its description in RNAcentral is "bacterial SSU rRNA". It matches the Rfam family "Bacterial small subunit ribosomal RNA", at positions 40 to 699 of the family's 1533-position model. Lineage: Bacteria; Bacillati; Bacillota; Bacilli; Caryophanales; Bacillaceae. The record is from RNAcentral.